CGGCGGAACACGUGAAAUUCCGUCGGAAUCCGGGAGGACCAUCUCCCAAGGCUAAAUACUCCCUAGUGACCGAUAGUGAACCAGUACCGUGAGGGAAAGGUGAAAAGCACCCCGGAAGGGGAGUGAAACAGUUCCUGAAACCGUGUGCCUACAAGUAGUUAGAGCCCGUUAAUGGGUGAUAGCGUGCCUUUUGUAGAAUGAACCGGCGAGUUACGAUUUGUUGCAAGGUUAAGCGGAAAAAGCGGAGCCGUAGCGAAAGCGAGUCUGAAUAGGGCGCAUAAGUAACAGGUCGUAGACCCGAAACCAGGUGAUCUACCCAUGUCCAGGAUGAAGGUAAGGUAAUACUUACUGGAGGUCCGAACCCACGCACGUUGAAAAGUGCGGGGAUGAGGUGUGGGUAGCGGAGAAAUUCCAAUCGAACUUGGAGAUAGCUGGUUCUCUCCGAAAUAGCUUUAGGGCUAGCCUCGAGGUAAAGAGUCAUGGAGGUAGAGCACUGUUUGGACUAGGGGCCCUUCUCGGGUUACCGAAUUCAGAUAAACUCCGAAUGCCAUGUACUUAUACUCGGGAGUCAGACUGCGAGUGAUAAGAUCCGUAGUCGAAAGGGAAACAGCCCAGACCACCAGUUAAGGUCCCCAAAUAUAUGUUAAGUGGAAAAGGAUGUGGGGUUGCUUAGACAACCAGGAUGUUGGCUUAGAAGCAGCCACCAUUGAAAGAGUGCGUAAUAGCUCACUGGUCGAGUGACCCCGCGCCGAAAAUGUACCGGGGCUAAACAUAUUACCGAAACUGUGGAUGAACCUCUUUAGAGGUUCGUGGUAGGAGAGCGUUCUAAGGGCGGUGAAGUCAGACCGGAAGGACUGGUGGAGCGCUUAGAAGUGAGAAUGCCGGUAUGAGUAGCGAAAGAAGGGUGAGAAUCCCUUCCACCGAAUAUCUAAGGUUUCCUGAGGAAGGCUCGUCCGCUCAGGGUUAGUCGGGACCUAAGCCGAGGCCGAUAGGCGUAGGCGAUGGACAACAGGUAGAGAUUCCUGUACCAGUGCUAAUUGUUUAACCGAUGGGGUGACACAGAAGGAUAGGGAAUCGCACGAAUGGAAAUGUGCGUCCAAGCAGUGAGUGUGAGAAGUAGGCAAAUCCGCUUCUC
RNAcentral lists this ribosomal RNA (1135 nucleotides) under Listeria monocytogenes. RNAcentral's name for it is "partial 23S ribosomal RNA". It matches the Rfam family "Bacterial large subunit ribosomal RNA", at positions 415 to 1550 of the family's 2925-position model. The record is from RNAcentral. Lineage: Bacteria; Bacillati; Bacillota; Bacilli; Caryophanales; Listeriaceae.